ACUAUUCACAAUUUUAUACUAUUCACGUUCAACGUUUGACUGUUCGUCUUAUUUGAAAAAAAAAUUAUGAUUAGUAUUUUUAUNUGCUAUUAGAUGAUAAAACAUGAAUAGUACUUUAUAUGUGAUUAAAUAUUUUUAAAUUUUUCAUAAAUUUUUUUANNAUAAGACGAAUGGUCAAAUGUUGGGCACUGAUAUCCACGGCUGUCGAUUUA
RNAcentral lists this microRNA precursor (212 nucleotides) under Oryza sativa Indica Group (long-grained rice). RNAcentral's name for it is "MIR812 microRNA precursor family". It matches the Rfam family "MIR812 microRNA precursor family". Lineage: Eukaryota; Viridiplantae; Streptophyta; Magnoliopsida; Poales; Poaceae. The record is from Rfam by way of RNAcentral.